This 254-nucleotide ribosomal RNA is filed under the name uncultured bacterium. Its description in RNAcentral is "partial 16S ribosomal RNA". It matches the Rfam family "Bacterial small subunit ribosomal RNA", at positions 524 to 776 of the family's 1533-position model. The record is from RNAcentral.
UACGUAGGGUCCAAGCGUUAUCCGGAAUUACUGGGCGUAAAGAGUUGCGUAGGUGGCAUAGUAAGUAGAUAGUGAAAGCGUGUGGCUCAACCAUACAUCCAUUAUCUAAACUGCUAAGCUAGAAGAUGAGAGAGGUAGAUGGAAUUCCUGAUGUAGGGGUAAUAUCCGUAGAUAUUAGGAGGAACACCGAUGGCGUAGGCAGUCUACUGGCUCAUUCUUGACACUAAGGCACGAAAGCGUGGGGAGCAAACAGG